This 253-nucleotide ribosomal RNA is filed under the name uncultured bacterium. Its description in RNAcentral is "partial 16S ribosomal RNA". It matches the Rfam family "Bacterial small subunit ribosomal RNA", at positions 524 to 776 of the family's 1533-position model. The record is from RNAcentral.
UACGAAGGGUGCAAGCGUUAAUCGGAAUUACUGGGCGUAAAGGGUGCGUAGGCGGUUCGUUAAGUCUGUCGUGAAAUCCCCGGGCUCAACCUGGGAAUGGCGAUGGAUACUGGCGAGCUAGAGUGUGUCAGAGGAUGGUGGAAUUCCCGGUGUAGCGGUGAAAUUCGUAGAUAUCGGGAGGAACACCGGUGGCGAAAGCGGCUUCCUGGCCCGACACUGACGCUCAUGUACGAAAGCGUGGGGAGCAAACAGG